Molecule: ribosomal RNA, 373 nt
Filed under: uncultured Glomeromycotina
Lineage: Eukaryota; Fungi; Glomeromycota
Description: LSU rRNA
Source: RNAcentral
UUGAAAGGGAAACGAUUGAAGUCAGUCGUACCUGUGGGUAAUCAGCCUUUUGGGUGUGAUUUUGUGGAGUGUGAGGAGUUAAACGCCUUCAUGCCUGCAUAUUCGUGCACUUUGGGUGUAUUUACCCGUGUGGUAAGUUAACAUCAAUUUCGGUGGUCAUAAAAUGGCUGGAGGAAUGUAGCUUUGAUCUCGUAUUGAAGUGUUAUAGCCUUCGGUAGAUGUGAUAAUCGGGAUUGAGGAUUGCAACGGAUACCCCUCGGGGCUACCUGUCUGAUCUCUGAUCGUUGCUCUGGUGCCGAAAGCUUGCUUACGGUUAUCAAAGUCGAUGGUCAAUAGGUUAGAAUGGGUUAAAUUCGUUAAGGAUGUUGACGUA